RNAcentral lists this transfer RNA (65 nucleotides) under Dipodomys ordii (Ord's kangaroo rat). It matches the Rfam family "tRNA". Rfam says of the family: Transfer RNA (tRNA) molecules are approximately 80 nucleotides in length. The record is from Rfam by way of RNAcentral. Lineage: Eukaryota; Metazoa; Chordata; Mammalia; Rodentia; Heteromyidae.
GGUGGCUCAGUGGUAGAGCGCUUGCCUUGCUUGCAUGAGGUCUUGGGUUCGAUUCCUCAGCACCA